Molecule: ribosomal RNA, 253 nt
Filed under: uncultured bacterium
Lineage: Bacteria
Description: partial 16S ribosomal RNA
Rfam family: Bacterial small subunit ribosomal RNA
Source: RNAcentral
GACGAGCCACACAAACGUUAUUCGGAAUUACUGGGCUUAAAGGGUGCGUAGGCGGCGCGGAAAGUUGGGUGUGAAAUCCCUCGGCUCAACCGAGGAAUUGCGCUCAAAACUACCGUGCUCGAGGGAGAUAGAGGAGCGCGGAACUUAGGGUGGAGCGGUGAAAUGCGUUGAUAUCCUAGGGAACACCGGUGGCGAAAGCGGCGCUCUGGAUCUCAUCUGACGCUGAUGCACGAAAGCUAGGGUAGCGAACGGG